RNAcentral lists this ribosomal RNA (436 nucleotides) under uncultured Porphyromonadaceae bacterium. RNAcentral's name for it is "bacterial SSU rRNA". It matches the Rfam family "Bacterial small subunit ribosomal RNA", at positions 349 to 782 of the family's 1533-position model. Lineage: Bacteria; Pseudomonadati; Bacteroidota; Bacteroidia; Bacteroidales; Porphyromonadaceae. The record is from RNAcentral.
CAGCAGUGAGGAAUAUUGGUCAAUGGGCGGGAGCCUGAACCAGCCAAGUCGCGUGAGGGAAGACGGUCCUACGGAUUGUAAACCUCUUUUGCCGGGGAGCAACGGGGUCCUUGCGAGGGCCCAAUGAGAGUACCCGGAGAAAAAGCAUCGGCUAACUCCGUGCCAGCAGCCGCGGUAAUACGGAGGAUGCGAGCGUUAUCCGGAUUUAUUGGGUUUAAAGGGUGCGUAGGCGGGCUGUUAAGUCAGCGGUCAAAUGUCGGGGCUCAACCCCGGCCUGCCGUUGAAACUGGCGGCCUCGAGUGGGCGAGAAGUAUGCGGAAUGCGUGGUGUAGCGGUGAAAUGCAUAGAUAUCACGCAGAACUCCGAUUGCGAAGGCAGCAUACCGGCGCCCGACUGACGCUGAGGCACGAAAGCGUGGGUAUCGAACAGGAUUAGA